UGGAACAUACUGUAGAAUGAGGAAAUUGGCACACAGCAGCAGCCUUCCACUCUGGCAUUCUUCUUGGAGUUUUAAGUGUGGACUCUGCCCUUUCUGUGAACACGAACUGCAACUAUGUAGUAUGCCACAGGCAGAGAUGGUCCAGAGUGUAGAUCCUCCAUCAAAGAAUCAGGAAAACAUUGGAAGAACAAAACACCGAAGAUGACUACAAAAACUUCAGGAGAAAUCUAAGAAGUGAAGUGGCUGAGAAAUUCUUUGAACAUAAUGAAGAAAGUAAUCGUGUUGACUUCUUCACCCAGACUGCAGUGCAUAUUGUGAACCAGAAAGCUCAUCCAAGAGUAACACCAUACAAAUGCCACCUGAGUGAAAAAGUCCUUUUUACUCAUCCAUCAGUAAAUGUCCCCCACAGAACUCUUAUGGGUCACACACCACAUGAGUAGGAGGAGUAUGGAGAGAAGUUGUAGGAACACAAGAAGCAUGGGCAGCCUGCUGCUCUCCCAAAUGCCUGCAGAAGCAUGACAUGACUCUAACAGGAGAGAAGCCCCAUGACAAACACUGUGAUGGUGACUUUAGGUGUCACACUUCCUGUCAGGUACAUGAAUGGACUCCUAUUCUAUAAACCACGGGAAUGAAAGCAGUGUGGGAAAGGUUUUCUUCCACUUAUUUCUGAAGGCAUGCAAAACUGCAUAAAGGAGAAAAACCCUAUGUAUGUAAGCAAUGUGGAAAGGCUUUACUCCUUCUGAUUGCCUUCAAUGACAUGGAAGAAUUCAUGCAGGAGAGAAGCAUGUGAGCAUUGUGGGAAAGCCUUUGCCUAUUCCAGAUCCCUGCUGACACAUGGAGAGGAACCCUGUGUAUGUAAGUCUUGUGGGAAAACCUUUGUGUCUUCAAGUCGCUUUCAAGCACAUGUAGAUGUCACUAUGAAGAGAGCCCCCAUGUGUGUGACAAUAUGACAAAGCUUUCAUUUGGAGCAGCAGCUUUCAAAGAUGUAAGUGAAAUCACAGUGGAGAAAAUGUCUGUAUCAGUAAACAGUGUGAGACAACCUUGUCUUAUUUGCAUGGCCUUCAAAGACAUGAACAAAUAUACAUUGGUGAGAAACCCUACGAAUGCACGCAAUGAGGAAAAUUCUUCAUGUGCUCUGAUUCCUUUUAGAAACAUGGCAAGCUUAGGCUGGGGUGAAUUCCUAAAUACAGAUGUGGGAAGGCCUCACUCUCACAUGAACUUUGUAUGAAACAUGACACUACCUUGGAAAAGGAAAUGAGUAUAAUGUAAAGUGUGGGAAAGUAUAUACUCACCCCAGUUAAUUCAAGAACAUUAAAUAGCAUACUAUGGUGAGAAAUCCUGAGUAGAUACAUGUUGCAAAGUCUUAACAUAGCCACCAUCUAUGACGGCAUCCUAGAUCAAAACGUUUUGAACGCAAAGACAAUAGCAAAGUUGUCAUUUAGAAAAAAUUACAUUCAGCUGGGAACCUGUCAUGCACAACUGAAAUCCUAGCUACUCAGGUGGCAGUGAUCAGGAGGUUCAAGUUUCGAAGCCAGACCCAAGCAAGUUGCUUGGAAGACCCGAUCUUGAAAAUACCUAUUAGAACAAAGAGCUGGCAGAAUGGGAGGAGCUCAAGUCAUAGUGCACUGGCCUAGGAAGCCUGUGGUCCUGACUUCAAACCCCAGUACUACCAAAAAGAAAUGUGUAUAGGUGUAACUUAAGUGCAAGUCUCCUGAGAUCCUGAAUUCUUAGAAUGCUGUAGAAAUUGUAGAACCUGAAGGAAAUGUUUUAAUUGCUCUAUGUGUAUUUUAUCAUCAUCUGAAUUUUUUUGUGGCAAUGCUGUUUUUUGUCAGAACCUCAUGCUGGUUGUGCAGAUACUCUACCAUUUUCACAGCUGUAGUGACUCAAAUUUUGUUGUGGGGCAGUUGAAUUUAGGGUUUCCAGCUUGCAAAGCAAGCACUUGACCCACACCUCCAGUCCAUUUUGGUAUGACUAUUUUGAAGAUGGGUUCUAUUGAACUAUUUCACUGGCCUGGCCUUCAACCUUGAUCCUCCCCAAUCUCAGCCUCCCCAGAAGCUUGGAUUACAUAUGUGAACCCCAGGUGCUUAUAACUCUGGCUCAUUCUUAAAGUAACUCUCUGAACUAUUUGUUUUCUCCCUUGAAAAGAAAUGUUGUAGUGACAUAAUU
This is a non-coding RNA of Castor canadensis (American beaver), 2166 nucleotides long. Lineage: Eukaryota; Metazoa; Chordata; Mammalia; Rodentia; Castoridae. The record is from RefSeq and is a predicted model, not a curated record.